UGGGGAAUCUUGCGCAAUGGACGAAAGUCUGACGCAGCAACGCCGCGUGAGUGAAGAAGGCCUUCGGGUUGUAAAGCUCUGUCGGGCGGGACGAACGGUCAGUAGGUUAAUAGCCUAUUGAAUUGACGGUACCGCCAAAGGAAGCACCGGCUAACUUCGUGCCAGCAGCCGCGGUAAUACGAGGGGUGCAAGCGUUGCUCGGAAUCAUUGGGCGUAAAGGGCAAGUAGGUGGUCUUGUUUGUCUGGGGUGAAAGCCUCGAGCUUAACUCGAGAAGUGCCUCGGAAACGGCAAGACUAGAGUCCUAGAGAGGGUCGCGGAAUUCCCGGUGUAGCGGUGAAAUGCGUAGAGAUCGGGAGGAACACCAGAGGCGAAAGCGGCGGCCUGGAUAGGUACUGACAC
This 400-nucleotide ribosomal RNA is filed under the name uncultured bacterium. RNAcentral's name for it is "bacterial SSU rRNA". It matches the Rfam family "Bacterial small subunit ribosomal RNA", at positions 355 to 746 of the family's 1533-position model. The record is from RNAcentral.